CCUACGGGUGGCAGCAGUGGGGAAUAUUGGACAAUGGGGGGAACCCUGAUCCAGCCAUGCCGCGUGUGUGAAGAAGGCCCUCGGGUUGUAAAGCACUUUCAGUGAGGAAGAACGCCUGGUGGUUAAUACCCAUCAGGAAAGACAUCACUCACAGAAGAAGCACCGGCUAACUCCGUGCCAGCAGCCGCGGUAAUACGGAGGGUGCGAGCGUUAAUCGGAAUUACUGGGCGUAAAGCGCGCGUAGGUGGCUUGAUAAGCCGGUUGUGAAAGCCCCGGGCUCAACCUGGGAACGGCAUCCGGAACUGUCAAGCUCGAGUGCAGGAGAGGAAGGUAGAAUUCCCGGUGUAGCGGUGAAAUGCGUAGAGAUCGGGAGGAAUACCAGUGGCGAAGGCGGCCUUCUGGACUGACACUGACACUGAGGUGCGAAAGCGUGGGUAGCAAACAGGAUUAGAUACCCCAGUAGUC
RNAcentral lists this ribosomal RNA (465 nucleotides) under Vreelandella stevensii. Its description in RNAcentral is "partial 16S ribosomal RNA". It matches the Rfam family "Bacterial small subunit ribosomal RNA", at positions 338 to 795 of the family's 1533-position model. Lineage: Bacteria; Pseudomonadati; Pseudomonadota; Gammaproteobacteria; Oceanospirillales; Halomonadaceae. The record is from RNAcentral.